GGGAUGUGGACGGAGGGUCCCAGUGGCAGAGGCAGUCUGCUGAGCAGAACAGGGGAUGUGGACGGAGGGUCCCAGUGGCAGAGGCAGUCUGCUGAGCAGAACAGGGGAUGUGGAUGGGGUCCCAGUGGCAGAGGCAGUCUGCUGAGCAAAACAGGGGCCGAGGCCAAGUCACACAGGGGAUGUGGACGGAGGGUCCCAGUGGCAGAGGCAGUCUGCUGAGCAGAACAGGGAUGUGACGGAGGUCCCGUGCAAGUCAGUCGCUGAUCAUGUAAAGGGGCCGAGCAAGCACAUGUACAGGGAAUGUGGACGGAGGUCAGUGCAAUGGCAGUCGCUGAGCAUACGGACGAGGCAAUCCACACAGGGGAGUGGAGAGGGUCCAGUGGCAGAGGCAGUCUGCUGAACAGAACAGGGGCCAGAGGCUAAGUCCACAUGGGGAUGUGACGAGGUCCAGUGUCAUGGAGUGCAUGUCUGCUGACGAACAUGGC
This 485-nucleotide long non-coding RNA is filed under the name Aotus nancymaae (Ma's night monkey). Its description in RNAcentral is "lncRNA (ENSANAG00000038873.1)". The record is from RNAcentral. Lineage: Eukaryota; Metazoa; Chordata; Mammalia; Primates; Aotidae.